GGAGGGGGCUAGCGUUGUUCGGAAUUACUGGGCGUAAAGCGCGCGUAGGCGGGCUGGUCAGUUGGGGGUGAAAUCCCGAGGCUCAACCUCGGAACUGCCCCCAAUACUACCAGUCUUGAGUUCGAGAGAGGUGAGUGGAAUUCCUAGUGUAGAGGUGAAAUUCGUAGAUAUUAGGAAGAACACCAGUGGCGAAGGCGGCUCACUGGCUCGAUACUGACGCUGAGGCGCGAAAGCGUGGGGAGCAAACAGGGAUUAGAUACCCUGGUAGUCCACGCCGUAAACGAUGGGUGCUAGUUGUCGGGCGGCAUGCCGUUCGGUGACGCAGCUAACGCGUUAAGCACCCCGCCUGGGGACUACGGUCGCAAGACUA
Molecule: ribosomal RNA, 370 nt
Filed under: uncultured organism
Description: partial 16S ribosomal RNA
Rfam family: Bacterial small subunit ribosomal RNA
Source: RNAcentral